Molecule: long non-coding RNA, 1376 nt
Organism: Magnolia sinica
Lineage: Eukaryota; Viridiplantae; Streptophyta; Magnoliopsida; Magnoliales; Magnoliaceae
Exons: 5
Source: RefSeq, a predicted model, not a curated record
CCAAACCACUUAAACCAUAGACAUAAUGAACCUCACCCUGGAUGGCCGAUGCAUUAAAAUUUGUCAAAUUGGAAAAUUGUAGCAAUAAGUUUUUCGAUCUUUUUUCUGGUUGAAUCAGAGACAUUACUGUAUAUUUUUUUCUUAACCAUUAUUUUUUUCUGAACCAUAGCUCUUCUUCUCCAUUCAACUGUUUCGGCUUCAUGACUUUUCCAUUAAAAACCCAUCAAUUUAACUCCUAUGUAAUUUUUACAUUUUGGAACCUUAAGGGACUGAGUAUACCAUUCAUAUAUGCAUCUGCUGCCCACACUCCUAUAUAAAUUUGUCUAAAAUUAGCAAAAGAUAGUUUGACCCAGGAGAAUCUGUAAAUUCUUCACUCUUCACUUUCUUAGAUACUUUCCUUUUUCUUUUAUUUUCUUUAAGGUUAACUGCAUUAGUAAAACAAGGGGAUUAGAGGAUCUUAGAUGCAUUAUAUUUACUAAAAAUGGACUGUGUGAUGAUGUAAUUAGGUAUUUUCUUGCCAUGCAGUGUUACUGUUUUAUGGAAAAUUCCAAAGCAUCUAUUCCUUGGAGGAUGAUGACAAAUUGCUCUCUGAGUCUUGGACUCGUUUCCAAAAAUGGAUUGUGUGAUGAUGUAAUCAGGUUUGUUUUAUGGUUGUUUGUAUGUUGGUAGAUCAGGUUGAAUGUUGGAAUUCAUGUUCAGCCUACGAGAUCAGGUUUAAGAAUGCAUGUAUAUGCCCAAUCUGUAAAAGGGUCAGUGGAGUGUGGCACAUUUACAGCUAAAUGAGUCAGAUACCUUGCACCUGAGUAUGCAGAGAAUGACAUAGUUUCCGUAAGGACAGAUGUUUAUUCAUUUGGCAUUGUUCUGUUGCAACUGAUAUCAGGACGCAAUGUGAUCAAUCAAAAUCAAGAAGAGCAAAGCCAGUCUCUACUUCAAUGGGUUCCUGAAACAGUUGUCCAGCAGAUGUUUUUGCUAAACAGACUUGAUGUGGAGCUUUGUAAGCAUGCUCAGGACAUCUUUGCACAGCAGUGGAAACAUCUUGCCGAGAAGUUGAUUAAAGUGUGUUACAUCUUUUAAGCAAACAGGUGGUACUCUUUGCUGGAUGUAUAUGUCGCCAUGGAUUAACCGCUCAAAAAGCUUCUUUGCAUUCAAGCAUUUUGUUAGAUUUACUAAGAGAACGAUGAAGCUUGUUGGUUUCCAUCAUAUUCAUCAGGGUUUUAAUUCUUCUAUGAGUGAGAUUUUUCUUAACACUUUUCUUGUUAUUAAUUGAUUAUGGAAUUAUUGUUUUGAAUUUUAGGGAUCUUAUUUGAUUAUAUUGGGGGUUGAUAUGUGGAGACUCUAUUAUUCCCUUUUAGUUAUAAUACCAUGUAGUUACCAUU